Molecule: transfer RNA, 73 nt
Filed under: Amarsipus carlsbergi (amarsipa)
Lineage: Eukaryota; Metazoa; Chordata; Actinopteri; Scombriformes; Amarsipidae
Description: tRNA-Asp
Rfam family: tRNA
About the family: Transfer RNA (tRNA) molecules are approximately 80 nucleotides in length. Their secondary structure includes four short double-helical elements and three loops (D, anti-codon, and T loops).
Source: RNAcentral
AAGAUACUAGUAAAACAAAAUAUUACACUGCCUUGUCGAGGCAGAGUUGUGGGUUUAAUCCCCGCGUAUCUUG